This 274-nucleotide ribosomal RNA is filed under the name uncultured bacterium. RNAcentral describes it as "partial 16S ribosomal RNA". It matches the Rfam family "Bacterial small subunit ribosomal RNA", at positions 523 to 796 of the family's 1533-position model. The record is from RNAcentral.
AUACGGAGGGUGCAAGCGUUGUUCGGAAUUAUUGGGCGUAAAGCGCGUGUAGGCGGCUUGGAAAGUCGGGUGUGAAAGCCCGGGGCUCAACCCCGGAAUUGCAUUCGAAACUUCCUCGCUAGAGUCUCGGAGAGGAGGGCGGAAUUCCCGGUGUAGAGGUGAAAUUCGUAGAUAUCGGGAGGAACACCAGUGGCGAAGGCGGCCCUCUGGACGAUGACUGACGCUGAGAUGCGAAAGCGUGGGGAGCAAACAGGAUUAGAUACCCCAGUAGUCC